CUAUAAAUAUGCUCACAGCCCACCUCAAUUUCAACAAAACUAAAUUCAGAACAAGGAAACAAUACUAAACGGUGAUCAAAAGGAGAAAAAAUGGCAUCUAUUUGUCAAGGUAAGAGUUCAUGGCCAGAGCUUCUUGGAGUAGACGGGAAGUGCGCUGUCGCAACGAUCGAGAGAGAAAAUCCUCUGGUUGAAGCUAUAAUUGUGCCAGAAGGAUCAUCAGUCAUCGAGAAUUUUCGGUGCGAUAGGGUUUGGGUUUGGGUUGAUAAAGAUGGCAUUGUCUAUAUAGUCCCUGUAAUUGGAUAAGAUCCAAAAACUGCGAUAUAUUCUUGUGAUAAUUGUCAAGGAAUGCUAAUAAAAGAAAAAAAAUGAAAUAAGAAGCUUGGAUCCAAGCUCCAUGUGUAAAUUGCAAUCUUGAUAAAAGUUGUAUUUCUCUAUGUAUUUCCAUUGAACUUAAUUACAAAUAUACACCACCCUUAAUAGAGUUA
Molecule: long non-coding RNA, 485 nt
Organism: Populus euphratica (Euphrates poplar)
Lineage: Eukaryota; Viridiplantae; Streptophyta; Magnoliopsida; Malpighiales; Salicaceae
Exons: 2
Source: RefSeq, a predicted model, not a curated record